Molecule: non-coding RNA, 707 nt
Organism: Onthophagus taurus
Lineage: Eukaryota; Metazoa; Arthropoda; Insecta; Coleoptera; Scarabaeidae
Source: RefSeq, a predicted model, not a curated record
UAUUAAUAAUUUAUGCUUUAUAAAUUAAUAGGGUGAGAAUACGAAUUAAUAAUUUUGCUGAAACUAAAUUUAUAGUUAAUAUAUAGUUUUUGUAUGAAUGUACGGCGAGUACACGACGGAAGCUUUAGCGCAUGUUUGCGCAUGUUUCCGUUGAUUCCGGAAGGGAGUUCCGCUGCGGACGGGCCGUAAGCCAGUCGGCACAAGCCCUGCGGGACGGUAGCGUCGCGACGACCCGACGAACUUUUGCGCCUCCGGCCCGUGGUUGUUGACACGGCGUUCGAAUCGCCGAGGGCUUUUCGAAGAACGCUCAAACAGAGAGGGUGAGUGGCGCGAAUCGAUAGGCCGCAACUCCCCCCGCGCUUGGGUGAUACACGCAAAAGAGAGCGACAUCUACCGCGACAUGACGGCGACGUGUCGGGACAAGUUUUCGCCCCCGCGGACGCAUUUUAAGCUGUAACGGAAAAUAACAUGAAAUAAUGUACCGGUUACAAUGUGUGGUGGUGGUGUUUUUGUAUCGUUUGGCGUUCGUCCUUCCGAGGCAAAACGACGCGCACGUGCUUCAUAUCGGAGGUAUAUUCCCCAUUAUGGGCCAAGGAGGGUGGCAAGGGGGCCAAGCCUGUAUGCCGGCUGCUCACAUGGCCUUAGAAGAUGUCAACAAACGAAAGGAUCUUUUGCCCGGAUACGUCUUGGAAUUACAUCAAAAUGAC